Molecule: ribosomal RNA, 207 nt
Filed under: uncultured bacterium
Lineage: Bacteria
Description: partial 16S ribosomal RNA
Rfam family: Bacterial small subunit ribosomal RNA
Source: RNAcentral
UGCGUAGGCGGAAAAUUAAGUCAGUGGUGAAAGCCCGCAGCUCAACUGUGGAACUGCCAUUGAAACUGGUUUUCUUGAAUAUAGCUGAGGCAGAUGGAAUAUAACAUGUAGCGGUGAAAUGCUUAGAUAUGUUAUAGAACACCGAUUGCGAAGGCAGUCUGCUAAACUAUUAUUGACGCUGAGGCACGAAAGCGUGGGGAGCGAACA